UUGACAACCCAGGGUACUGAUGGCCUCUUUAUCUACAGAGCAGAUAUGACCUGGGCACCAGCAGUGCAUAAUUCCACUGUGCUGCCCUGCCUACGUGCCUCCACCGCUAGUGUGGAGAGCCCAUCUCCAGGGCUGAUGGAGGAGAGCAGUUUCCUUGGUCUGUUCAGUCUUUGACUUCU
Molecule: small RNA, 179 nt
Filed under: Numida meleagris (helmeted guineafowl)
Lineage: Eukaryota; Metazoa; Chordata; Aves; Galliformes; Numididae
Description: TUC338 (ENSNMEG00000014661.1)
Source: RNAcentral